This 459-nucleotide ribosomal RNA is filed under the name uncultured bacterium. RNAcentral describes it as "bacterial SSU rRNA". It matches the Rfam family "Bacterial small subunit ribosomal RNA", at positions 340 to 786 of the family's 1533-position model. The record is from RNAcentral.
UACGGAAGGCAGCAGUGGGGAAUAUUGCACAAUGGGCGAAAGCCUGAUGCAGCUAUGCCGCGUGUAUGAAGAAGGCCUUAGGGUUGUAAAGUACUUUCAUCGGGGAGGAAAAAACAAAACUAAUAAUUUUAUUUCUUGACGUUACCCGAAAAAGAAGCACCGGCUAACUCCGUGCCAGCAGCCGCGGUAAUACGGAGGGUGCUAGCGUUAAUCAGAAUUACUGGGCGUAAAGAGCACGUAGGUGGUUUUUUAAGUCAGAUGUGAAAUCCCCUGGGCUUAACCUAGGAACUGCAUUUUGAAAACUGAAAAUACUAGAGUAUCGUAGAGGGAGGUAGAAUUCUAGGUGUAGCGGUGAAAUGCGUAGAUAUCUGGAGGAAAUACCUGUGGCGAAAGCGGCCUCCUAAACGAAUACUGACACUGAGGUGCGAAAGCGUGGGGAGCAAACAGGGAUUAGAUACC